RNAcentral lists this ribosomal RNA (217 nucleotides) under Alexandrium fundyense. RNAcentral describes it as "partial Bacterial large subunit ribosomal RNA". It matches the Rfam family "Bacterial large subunit ribosomal RNA", at positions 1043 to 1257 of the family's 2925-position model. Lineage: Eukaryota; Dinophyceae; Gonyaulacales; Pyrocystaceae. The record is from RNAcentral.
GGUCCCUAAAUACCAACUAAGUUGCAGUAAAGGAUGUUGGGCUGCCCCGACAACCAGGAGGUUGGCUUAGAAGCAGCCAUCCUUUAAAGAAAGCGUAAUAGCUCACUAGUCGAGUCGGCCUGCGCGGAAGAUGUAACGGGGCUAAGCAAUAUACCGAAGCUGCGGCAGCAUAGUUUACUAUGCUGGGUAGGGGAGCGUUGUGUAAGUGGAUGAAGGU